Molecule: ribosomal RNA, 912 nt
Filed under: uncultured crenarchaeote
Lineage: Archaea; Thermoproteati; Thermoproteota
Description: bacterial SSU rRNA
Rfam family: Archaeal small subunit ribosomal RNA
Source: RNAcentral
GGGUUACUCUGAGUGAUUUCCGUUAAGGAGAUCUUUUGGCACCUCUAAAAAUGGUGCAGAAUAAGGGGUGGGCAAGUCUGGUGUCAGCCGCCGCGGUAAUACCAGCACCCCGAGUGGUCGGGACGUUUAUUGGGCCUAAAGCAUCCGUAGCCGGUUCUACAAGUCUUCCGUUAAAUCCACCUGCUUAACAGAUGGGCUGCGGAAGAUACUAUGGAGCUAGGAGGCGGGAGAGGCAAGCGGUACUCGAUGGGUAGGGGUAAAAUCCGUUGAUCCAUUGAAGACCACCAGUGGCGAAGGCGGCUUGCCAGAACGCGCUCGACGGUGAGGGAUGAAAGCUGGGGGAGCAAACCGGAUUGGGUACCCGGGUAGUCCCAGCUGUAAACGAUGCAGACUCGGUGAUGAGUUGGCUUCAUGCCAACUCAGUGCCGCAGGGAAGCCGUUAAGUUUGCCGCCUGGGGAGUACGGUCGCAAGACUGAAACUUAAAGGAAUUGGCGGGGGAGCACCACAAGGGGUGAAGCCUGCGGUUCAAUUGGAGUCAACGCCGGAGAUCUUACCGGGGGCGACAGCAGAAUGAAGGUCAAGCUGAAGACUUUACCAGACAAGCUGAGAGGAGGUGCAUGGCCGUCGCCAGCUCGUGCCGUGAGGUGUCCUGUUAAGUCAGGUAACGAGCGAGACCCCUGCUUCUAGUUGCUACCAUUAUUCUCAGGAGUAGUGGAGCUAAUUAGAGGGACUGCCGUCGCUGAGACGGAGGAAGGAGGGGGCUACGGCAGGUCAGUAUGCCCCGAAACCCUCGGGCCACACGCGGGCUGCAAUGGUAAGGACAAUGAGUUUCGAUUCCGAAAGGAGGAGGCAAUCUCUAAACCUUACCACAGUUAUGAUUGAGGGCUGAAACUCGCCCUCAUGAAUAUGGA